Molecule: ribosomal RNA, 254 nt
Filed under: uncultured bacterium
Lineage: Bacteria
Description: partial 16S ribosomal RNA
Rfam family: Bacterial small subunit ribosomal RNA
Source: RNAcentral
UACGGAGGGGGCUAGCGUUGUUCGGAAUUACUGGGCGUAAAGCGCACGUAGGCGGAUAUUUAAGUCAGGGGUGAAAUCCCAGAGCUCAACUCUGGAACUGCCUUUGAUACUGGGUAUCUUGAGUAUGGAAGAGGUAAGUGGAAUUGCGAGUGUAGAGGUGAAAUUCGUAGAUAUUCGCAGGAACACCAGUGGCGAAGGCGGCUUACUGGUCCAUUACUGACGCUGAGGUGGCGAAAGCGUGGGGAGCAAACAGG